GUGUCAGUGGCAGAGCGUCUGUCUAGUAAACAGAAGGUCGCUGGUUCGAUUCCAGCAUGAGGCA
This 64-nucleotide transfer RNA is filed under the name Caenorhabditis japonica. It matches the Rfam family "tRNA". Rfam says of the family: Transfer RNA (tRNA) molecules are approximately 80 nucleotides in length. Their secondary structure includes four short double-helical elements and three loops (D, anti-codon, and T loops). The record is from Rfam by way of RNAcentral. Lineage: Eukaryota; Metazoa; Nematoda; Chromadorea; Rhabditida; Rhabditidae.